GUGGCAGUAGUGGUAGUAGUAGUGGUAGUAGUGGUAGUAGUUAGUAGUGGUAGUAGUUAGUAGUGGGGGCGGAGUCGCUGUGGAACACGGAGUCGCGGUGGGCUAUGCGCGCUGAGAUACAUCUCCGGACCUGCCAUGUGUGAAGCAGCACCUUACAGGAAAUGCAUAAAAUGAACCCAUUCAGGAGGACUGGGAGGGAGGCGGUUCAGGCUAUGGCGGAGGCGGCGGGCUGGGUCUUUGCCAUGGUUUCCACACAGAGCUCGGCUGAGCUGCUUAGAGGUGCUGCAGGGUGAAAACCUGGGGACGACUGGGUGCCAGCACAGUAAUGCAAAUGUGGAGAUAGUAGACGCAGGGCAUGCUGGGAAAAAUGUCUGUAAGAGUGUUUGCGAGGCGUAGGCUGAAUGGUGGAUUUUGACAGUUGAACUGUGAAGGAAAUCUUGGCUCAACACGUACGUAUGUGUGAAACUCAGUCUGGAAUAGAUGUACUUGACGGAAGGACAGACAGAAACACACACACACACACACACACACACACACACACACACACACACACACACACACACACACACACACACACACACACACACACACACACACACACACACACACACACACACUCGUCU
Molecule: long non-coding RNA, 623 nt
Organism: Gadus macrocephalus (Pacific cod)
Lineage: Eukaryota; Metazoa; Chordata; Actinopteri; Gadiformes; Gadidae
Exons: 2
Source: RefSeq, a predicted model, not a curated record